UUCAAUUGAAACCAUGACAUUCCACUUAAAACGGUCUCCUUCAACUGAAACCAUCAAAUUAAAAUGUAACGCUCUCUCCCCCCACUCCCAAACAAACCCAUAUCAAAGCAAACUUCAAAUGCAAAAAACUAACUCUUGGGCAGAGUGAAGCAUCAAAGCAAGACAUAACUACAUCUCAGAUAAUAUAUUGCUUUAAGAUUACCAAUUACUCAACUAAAUUAAGCAUGUAGGAUGAUUUCUUCAUAUACUCUUUGUUUCCACAAGUUGGGUCAUAUCAAUGACUCCUUCCGAUGGUGGGAGUAGGAAGUUCAUUUGUAAGCCAUUACAAUGCUACAUAUGCUUGGGCAAGUUCUGGACAUGAGCACUUCAAAUGUCUAGACCCUCAUCCAAUAUGUGUGCACAUAGAAUCACCAAAAAUCCAGCCUAUUCAGGGAUCCCUGAUCUUCGCAAUUAACAACAAAUGUCCAUUUUAUUAAUUUUACGAGAAUCCAAUCACUAGAAACACCAGUUGAGAAAUCCUUCCCAAAUACCCAUCUCCCUUGCUGAAGGUCAUGAAGUUGUGUGCUUCUUGAAUUAGGCCAUGAGGAUCAAGGUUUGAGCCCCUGUUAGCAGAACCAGAUGGUAUCAGAGGGUGUUCCUGCAUUGUUAUGGCAGAUAAAGGGUGCCACGGCCUUGUCAAGGAAACUUAGAUAUGAGACAUAUGCAAGUAGCUUCAUCAGGCUUAAGUCCCUUUAACAUGGCCUACCUAAACUAUGACCAUCCCCUACAACAUGAACCAUGAGCUCUGCGGAUGGCUUUGAUUCCACCAUGUCAUGCAACUCAUCAUGACCCCAAAUCAACAAUUUGCAAAAUUUGGUUAAGAAAACUUGAGUUAUUAUUGACUGACGAAGUGAAGAAAAUGAGGGGUUUCAGGCAAAAGGCAAAUUCUAAAACAUCAAAGAAAACCCAAAUUCACAAAAGGGGGGACCAGAACCCCUUUUGAUUUGCUUUGAUGCAAAGAAAUUCAGAACACCUCAAAUAGGAGAAAAAACCCAAUAAAUUGAGGUGUGAUAAACCCCCUAUAAAGC
Molecule: long non-coding RNA, 1067 nt
Filed under: Amborella trichopoda
Lineage: Eukaryota; Viridiplantae; Streptophyta; Magnoliopsida; Amborellales; Amborellaceae
Description: long non-coding RNA (ATRI_LNC001013)
Source: RNAcentral